ACAACAAACUACAAAACAGUUUCGUUAACUUAUUAAUAGUAUAAAUAUCAAAAUAUUACAUAUCUGAUUUAUUCCAAAAUUAAUUUGAGUUGACGGUGAUAUUGAUAUAUACAUUAUAUUGAUUGUUACGAAUGAUACAAGUGUCCUUAAACUUUGCAAAUAUGUUUGAAAAUAAAGGGUAAGGUUAUGUGGAGUUGUGAGGAAUGUUUGAGUUGGAUGCGAUGAAACAUAAUUUCAAAGAAUAUAUUACCGGUGUCAACAAUAUUUGCAGUUCCCUUUAUCGAUUCAAGGUAUAUCAACUAAUGAUAAAGAUUCCUGUAAUGUAUUUAUUCAGUCGAUAAACUACCAUAACUGGAGAACUGAAUUUAGCGCCCUCUGUCUGUGAACAGUGCGUCCAACUAUCUAAAAUGUGUGAAAGUGCCAAUCAAUAAUCAUCUGUGACUACAAAUACUUCCCGCCAACGGUUUGAGCAUUUUGUAACGAAUAUGGCGGAGCAAUCGCAGAAGACGGUUAACUGGAUUCAACGUUCGAUCGCCACAAAAUUAAGAUGAAUCGUUGUUCUGUACAAUCGGGCAGGUGAAUUUUACUAAAAAAGUAAAUCAUAACAACGUACUAUAGAAUUUUCGUUUUAUUUCCCACGAAAAAAGUAACAAUUAUUGUACAAAAAGCAUUUUCUGAAACAUACAUAUAAUGGGAUCUGACAAAUAAAUAAAUGAUUUUUAACGCUAUAAUGAAUACAUUAGCUGCGUGUAUAAUAGGACAGAUUUCUUUUCAACGAAAUCUCCUGAUAUAGGGAGAUAAUCUAUAUCACUGCACUUUAUUGGUCAUUAUGUGGUAAUAUUGAUAGAGACUUCAAAUAGAUAUAAUGAUAUCUAGAACCUCCACUACUAGCUUAUCGUCGUAAUAUC
Hylaeus volcanicus is the source of this 908-nucleotide long non-coding RNA. RefSeq lists it as uncharacterized. Lineage: Eukaryota; Metazoa; Arthropoda; Insecta; Hymenoptera; Colletidae. The record is from RefSeq and is a predicted model, not a curated record. The transcript is spliced from 2 exons.